RNAcentral lists this ribosomal RNA (393 nucleotides) under uncultured bacterium. RNAcentral describes it as "partial 16S ribosomal RNA". It matches the Rfam family "Bacterial small subunit ribosomal RNA", at positions 523 to 918 of the family's 1533-position model. The record is from RNAcentral.
AUACGGAAGGUCCGGGCGUUAUCCGGAUUUAUUGGGUUUAAAGGGAGCGCAGGCGGAGAUGCAAGCGUGACGUCAAAUUUCGGGGCUCAACCCCGUCUCGCGUCGCGAACUGCGUCCCUUGGUUGCGGGAAGGGGAGGCGGAACUCGUGGUGUAGCGGCGAAAUGCAUAGAUAUCACGAAGAACUCCGAUCGCGAAGGCAGCCUUCCGGCCCGUCAACGACGCUCAUGCUCGAAGGUGCGGGUAUCAAACAGGAUUAGAUACCCUGGUAGUCCGCACAGUAAACGAUGGACACCCGCGGUUUGGCCUGUAUGGCUGAGCCGCCAAGCGAAAGCGUUAAGUGUCCCACCUGGGGAGUACGCCGGCAACGGUGAAACUCAAAUGAAUUGACGGGG